Molecule: long non-coding RNA, 685 nt
Organism: Dinoponera quadriceps
Lineage: Eukaryota; Metazoa; Arthropoda; Insecta; Hymenoptera; Formicidae
Exons: 3
Source: RefSeq, a predicted model, not a curated record
CAUGCAUAAGUGCGCCGCGUUUAUCUUAUCUAGAAUGCAAGCGACCGCUCUCUCGGCUGCGCGAUGCGACAUCGCGGCGUGUAGUAUUCGCGUGCACUGGCGCGAUAGUGUCGGUGUGCGCGAACGCCUCAGCGGAGCAGCGUACGUGCAAAUUGCACGAGGUCGUUCGGUCAGAUGCGGCGGAAUGUUUGAUUGAAACGUAGUUUCGCGGCAUACACGCGGCACACGCGCAUACACACAAGAAUACAUUGUUAAACGCGAACGCGCUCGCGUGAAUUGCCGACGCGAUAGAUAGAGAACGAUCGCGCGCAGAGUGCAAGGCCGACGAUACGAGUGUACGACUUUCUUUUCUCUUAGCAAAUCCACGAAAUUCGAAUGAUGAUCCAGCACGGAGCGUGUUGCUAUCUCCCGAUACCACCGAACACCGUGGGUGCUCCGACAUACGAAGGACAGGUGCCCUACAUCGGGAUAGGAACAUCACAAAAUCCAUUCCAUCUCUGGCCGAUCACGUGGCCCCUCAACCCUCUGACAGCAGCAGCGGCAAUAAGUACGCCUCCGUACCCUGACAGUCCUCCCGAAUCAUCUGCCACGUAUCACUGAUCGACUGCUGAUGAUCGGUGAAGUGAGUCGACGAGGGCAACGUGUCGAAUCCAAAGAAAGUCACGUUCCGAAGCGACAGAACGAC